Molecule: transfer RNA, 73 nt
Filed under: Xyrichtys novacula (pearly razorfish)
Lineage: Eukaryota; Metazoa; Chordata; Actinopteri; Labriformes; Labridae
Description: tRNA.Ser
Source: RNAcentral
GUCCAAGUGGCUCAGUGGAUAAGAACACUGACUGGAACUCCUGAGGUCAUAGGUUCAAGUCCUACCUUGCCCA